RNAcentral lists this ribosomal RNA (447 nucleotides) under uncultured bacterium. Its description in RNAcentral is "partial 16S ribosomal RNA". It matches the Rfam family "Bacterial small subunit ribosomal RNA", at positions 29 to 523 of the family's 1533-position model. The record is from RNAcentral.
AGCGAACGCUGGCGGCAGGCUUAACACAUGCAAGUCGAACGCCCCGCAAGGGGAGUGGCAGACGGGUGAGUAACACGUGGGAACGUACCCUUUGGUUCGGAAUAACUUGGGGAAACUCAAGCUAAUACCGGAUAAGCCCUUAUGGGGAAAGGUUUACUGCCGAAGGAUCGGCCCGCGUCUGAUUAGCUAGUUGGUGAGGUAAUGGCUCACCAAGGCGACGAUCAGUAGCUGGUCUGAGAGGAUGAUCAGCCACACUGGGACUGAGACACGGCCCAGACUCCUACGGGAGGCAGCAGUGGGGAAUAUUGGACAAUGGGGGCAACCCUGAUCCAGCCAUGCCGCGUGAGUGAUGAAGGCCUUAGGGUUGUAAAGCUCUUUUACCCGGGACGAUAAUGACUGUACCGGGAGAAUAAGCCCCGGCUAACUUCGUGCCAGCCGCCGCGGUAA